RNAcentral lists this ribosomal RNA (301 nucleotides) under uncultured bacterium. Its description in RNAcentral is "partial 16S ribosomal RNA". It matches the Rfam family "Bacterial small subunit ribosomal RNA", at positions 509 to 809 of the family's 1533-position model. The record is from RNAcentral.
CAGUCGCCGCGGGAAUACAGAGGAUGCAAGCGUUAUCCGGAAUGAUUGGGCGUAAAGCGUCUGUAGGUGGCUUUUCAAGUCCGCCGUCAAAUCCCAGGGCUCAACCCUGGACAGGCGGUGGAAACCACCAAGCUGGAGUACGGUAGGGGCAGAGGGAAUUUCCGGUGGAGCAGUGAAAUGCGUAGAGAUGUGGAGGAACACCAGUGGCGAAGGCGACUCUCUGGUCUGUAACUGACGCUGAGGAGCGAAAGCGUGGGGAGCAAACAGGAUUAGAUACCCCUGUAGUCCCUGUCUCUUAUAA